RNAcentral lists this ribosomal RNA (253 nucleotides) under uncultured bacterium. RNAcentral's name for it is "partial 16S ribosomal RNA". It matches the Rfam family "Bacterial small subunit ribosomal RNA", at positions 524 to 776 of the family's 1533-position model. The record is from RNAcentral.
UACGUAGGGGGCAAGCGUUGUCCGGAUUUAUUGGGCGUAAAGGGCGUGUAGGCGGCCAUACAGGUCCGUUGUGAAAACUGGAGGCUUAACCUCCAGACGUCGAUGGAAACCGUAUGGCUAGAGUCCGGAAGAGGAGAGUGGAAUUCCUGGUGUAGCGGUGAAAUGCGCAGAUAUCAGGAAGAACACCCGUGGCGAAGGCGGCUCUCUGGGACGGUACUGACGCUGAGACGCGGAAGCGUGGGGAGCGAACAGG